AUGGUGCCAAAGAUUGGAACAAGUUUCGACACCCUCGGAGAAGCAUACGACUUUUACAAUUUAUACUCAUGGGAGAAAGGGUUUGGUAUUCGCUACGGAAAGAGUAGGCUGAACGUGAACAUGAGCAAGUGUAUGCAAGAGAUCGUGUGUGGAUGCGCGGGGAAGCCAAUCGUUGAGAAUACUCGUUCGUGCCGGUGUGAAUGCCCAUCCCUCAUCAGACUACUGAGAACAAAGGACAAUGGGUGGUACAUAGCAGAGCAUCGAGAUGGACACAACCAUGCAUUGUCACAAACAUAUGGCCAGACAAUACACUGGCCGUCACACAAGCAUAUUGACGUUUACAGCAAGGAUUUAGUGAAGCAGUUGAGGCAGAACAAUGUCAAUUUGUCAAAAGUCUACAGCAUUAUUGGCAGCUUUUUUGGAAAGAUGGAGAAUGUGCCAUUUACCAAAAGAGCUCCGCGGAAUUUGUGUGGCAAGAUAAGCCGGGAGCAAGCAGAAGAUGAUGUUAGGAAAACAAUGGAAGUGUUUCAUGAUCUGUGCUCAAAGGAUCCUCAAUUCACGUAUCGAGUUCAGGCGGACAAAGAGGGCAGGAUCAGCAACUUGAUGUGGGCUACAGGGAACAGUAGGCUCCAGUACAACUUCUUUGGGGAUGUCAUUACAUUUGACACAACCUAUAGGACCAACCUGUAUGACAUGCCAUUUGGGUUAUUUGUUGGAGUGAACAACCAUUUCCAGAGUAUCAUACUAGCUGGUGUGCUAGUUCGGCAUGAGACAGAGGAAACAUUUGAGUGGGCCUUCUCAGAGUUUGUUAGGAUAAUGGGGGGAGGGCGCCACAAACAAUACUUACCGAUCAAAACAAGGCGAUGGAGGUUGCCAUAA
This 879-nucleotide ribosomal RNA is filed under the name Triticum aestivum (bread wheat). Its description in RNAcentral is "partial small subunit ribosomal RNA". The record is from RNAcentral. Lineage: Eukaryota; Viridiplantae; Streptophyta; Magnoliopsida; Poales; Poaceae.